AGAUUGAACGCUGGCGGCAGGCCUAACACAUGCAAGUCGAGCGGUAGAGAGGUGCUUGCAUCUCUUGAGAGCGGCGGACGGGUGAGUAAUGCCUAGGAAUCUGCCUAGUGGUGGGGGAUAACGGUUCGGAAACGGACGCUAAUACCGCAUACGUCCUACGGGAGAAAGCGGGGGACCUUCGGGCCUCGCGCCAUUAGAUGAGCCUAGGUCGGAUUAGCUAGUUGGUGAGUAAUGGCUCACCAAGGCGACGAUCCGUAACUGGUCUGAGAGGAUGAUCAGUCACACUGGAACUGAGACACGGUCCAGACUCCGACGGGAGCAGCGAAGUGGGAAUAGUUGGAACAAGUGGGACGAAAGCCUAGACUCCGA
This 369-nucleotide ribosomal RNA is filed under the name uncultured soil bacterium. RNAcentral's name for it is "bacterial SSU rRNA". It matches the Rfam family "Bacterial small subunit ribosomal RNA", at positions 26 to 391 of the family's 1533-position model. The record is from RNAcentral.